UACGUAGGGUGCAAGCGUUGUCCGGAAUUAUUGGGCGUAAAGAGCUCGUAGGCGGUCUGUCGCGUCUGCUGUGAAAACUCAGGGCUUAACCCUGAGCUUGCAGUGGGUACGGGCAGACUAGAGUGCGGUAGGGGAGACUGGAAUUCCUGGUGUAGCGGUGAAAUGCGCAGAUAUCAGGAGGAACACCGGUGGGCGAAGGCGGGUCUCUGGGCCGUAACUGACGCUGGAGGAG
This 232-nucleotide ribosomal RNA is filed under the name uncultured bacterium. RNAcentral's name for it is "partial 16S ribosomal RNA". It matches the Rfam family "Bacterial small subunit ribosomal RNA", at positions 524 to 753 of the family's 1533-position model. The record is from RNAcentral.